Molecule: ribosomal RNA, 468 nt
Filed under: uncultured bacterium
Lineage: Bacteria
Description: partial 16S ribosomal RNA
Rfam family: Bacterial small subunit ribosomal RNA
Source: RNAcentral
GACGAACGCUGGCGGCGUGCUUAACACAUGCAAGUCGAACGGACAGACCCUGCGCUUGUGGGGUGCUCGUGUGGCGAACGGGUGAGUGACACGUGUGUAACCUGCCCUUGUCUUUGGGGUAACUUCAGGGGACAGGGGCUCAUACCCGAUAGGAGCUCCUGAUCCAUGGGGGGGUAUGGAAAAUUUCGGCCGUGGGGGCUGGCAUAGCGGCUUAUGCGCUGGUUUGGGGGGUUGUUGCUUCCCAGGGCUUUGAAGGGUAGGCCGCCUGAGAGGGUGACCGGCCACCUUGGUACUGCGAUACGGCCCAGACUCCUACGGGAGGCAGUAGGGGGGAACAUUGCACAAUGGGCGGAAGCCUGUGGUAGCAACUCCGCGUGCGUGAUGCCGGCCUACGGGUGGUAAACCGCUUUCGCCGGUGACGAAGCGUGAGUGACGGUAAUGGGUAAAGAAGCACCGGCUAACUACGUG